GACAGUAUUUUGUGUAUAUUAUAUAUAAUAUGUCCAUUUUAUUUUACUAAUGAAGCAAUAGUUAUAUAAUUUUUAUUUAUUCAUUGGUAAAUUAGGAAUAGGGACUUGACCGACUUAAAUGCUUCUUGCUACACUGUUAUUCUUAAUUAAUUUUGGGACUAUCAGUAAGUUAUGAUAUUAGAAAUGUCUAGAACAAGAAAUAGGAAAACUUUAUUGUCUUUAAAUUCUCUUAAUUCCUUUUUCUAGGCAAAGUUUAUGUAUAUUUCCUUUUGGUGUGCCACGACUAGGUGGAAGAAGUUUAAUGAAAUUGUUGCACCUCUAUUUUAAUAAUUAAUUUAUUGUUUAGUUUUGACUUAAUUUACAUUAUUUUAUUUAUUCGAUGAUUUAUAUUAUGCGAUGAUCUAUAUUUAACCAAGAUACAUGAGAACUUAAUUAGAAUAAUUCUUUUGAUUUCUUCCUCAUAAUAGCAUUGGACCAACUUAACUACCAUGUGUUUACUUUCGGUACACAGUGAUGCUAGUUAAUUGGCAUUAAAUUCUUUUAUAAUUUCUUGAGGUCUUAUCAUAAUUCUUUUAUAACCAUUCCUCUUUUCAUUCCCAAAGUGUUUUCACGCCUCCACACCAUACUCACCUUAUUCAUAAACAAACAACUUUUUCGGUUCUUCUUACUCUGAACUCUUGCAGGAUCAAAGUGAAGUUUUGGAUUCUCAAUCUCUUGAUUUAUAUAAUAUAUUUCCACCGAUCUUAGAGUCUUCUUCCAUGUUAAGGAGGUAAGGGCUUUUUCCCCAUACGUUCGUGUUAGGAAUAAGUUUAUGUUAUGAAAUAAAUAUUAGAAUAUUUAACCAUUAAAAAGGUAAUGUUAUGCAUUGUGUUUGAGUUGUUCUUUGAUGUAUGUGUGUGAUUGACUAUGAUUGAGAGUUUCUGUGAUUUAUGGGUGUGAUUGAUUGUGAAAUGGAAUAGUGUGUUAGUUUUGAUCCAAGUACUCUAGCACAAUAAAUUAUUGUUAGUUAGUUUUGAAGAUAUGUAUCAUAUAUUUGAGACAUGCAUCAUGUAGUAUGCAUGGUAGGUGCCUCCGUGGCUGAAUGGUGCCUCCGUGGCUGAACUUUGCCUUCGUGGCUGAAUUGUGCCUUCGUGGCUGAAUUUAUCCGGAUCAUGAGUCUGCAUUUUCAUGCAUAAAAAGCAUUCUUUUUGUUAAGAGAAUUUAUUAUAUAGAAUUUUAUUUAAGCAUUCUGUUUGUGUUAUUUGGCAACUCUUUAAUUAGUUAAUGACAAGACUUUCCUAUUCACUUGGGAACCCUUAUGUUUAUACAGGUGAAUGGAGGCGAAUGUCGUUGCCUGCAAUGCUUGUAGGAGAAACUCUUGGAGAAAUUUUACAGGCUAGUCAAUUUGCAAGAGAAAUUGUUUCAACUGUUGGUGACAAAACUCCCUCCAAAGAGGACCCAAAAACUCCAAUGUCUCAAAGGCCAAGCAAGAAAAUAAACCUUGAAAACACACAACUUAAGUCUAGAAGGAAGAAGGAGAAAUAAACCAAACUACAAAAUGAUGGUUCUCCUUCACUUCAAAGAGCUCGUUCCAGAAUCACUUUCAAAGUUUCUCCUCCAAAAGUUAGAGAAUUUAAUACAGAAAAUAACAAGUAUUUGUCUUAGGCGAAUAGGGUAUCUCCAAGGAAUAGGACAUGGGCUAAAAAAACUAUACUUUUCCCCAACCCUUUGUUCAAGUCAACUCAUUGUUCUUCAUCACGGUCAUAGCAGCAACAGUUUUGCAAAACAAGGUCUUCUUUUAUUUCAAGAAAUAGAGGACCAACAACACCACACAAGUUUUUGAUCAAAUUUCCACCUUCAAACUCUAAAGUUAAGAUCAAAAGCACAACAAUUGUGUCUAUUUCACCCACAAGACUUGCAAGUUUGAGUAAGAAUUCGCCAAAGAGAUCGACUGCUGCUAAAUUCCGUCGAUCUUUCUCUCCUUCGAGACUAGCUACCAGAUUAGUUUCACCAUUAAGGAGUAAGAAAACUGCCCAGAAAAGUGAUGGGAUUGUAAGUGGACUGAAACAGCACCCAGUAUCAACAAUUCAAUUCCCUGCUAAUAGAAGAAUUUAAGGACAUAUAGACUUUGAUUGUAUUUUGUCGCUAUGGUUUCCAAUGUCCAUAAUUGUUGUAUUCUUGUGAGAUUUUUUUGUUGUUGAGGACUUCUCCUUGUGUCCAUAACAUUCUUUCUUCUGUAAUAUGUUCAACAAAAAAUAUAAAGGUGUUUCUCUGAUGCAAAUCUUGUGAGCUUGCAAUGUUACCAAAUCAUAAGCAUACAUUUCAUUUGUCACAUAAACUCUAUGGACUUCAUCUCUCAAAAAAAAAAAAAAAAAAUCGAUGGAUUGCAAUUAAAAUGGUACUUUCUGCAAUAUGUAUUCUUUCACCAUACACCAUGUAUUUUUUAUUGAAAAAAAACAAUGAUAUUUUGUUGCUGCCCAGGAUCGAACUGGAGACCUUUAGUGUGUAAGACUAACGUGAUAACCACUACACCACAGCAACUUUGAUGAUAAUUUAUCCACUAUGAUAGUUUGUGACUCUUGAUCUUUUAAUUUAACUUUAUAUAUUUACAGUAUAAUGUUUUCAUUGAAGUUAUAUAGAUUAAUUAUUAUCAACAAUAUGCAUUUUUCGUCCCUUUAUUCUUGAUUUUAAUUGCCCAAUUUUUAUCUACAGUUUAAAAAUUUUAAUUAAUUAAUUAUUUUGACCAUCUAAUUUGAUGAUGUGGUAAUACAAAUUCACUCUCAACUAUUUAUCAUUUCAAUUUAUCUUCUUUUAACUUUAUAUGUUUGAUCAUGACUGAAUUUAACAUUGAAGAAUUUCAUCAAUAUUGAAGAAUCACAAUGAAAAUUCUAUCAAAUUUCUUUUUGGUACAGUUCAAAUUUUAAUAAAUUGUCGAGAAAGCAAUAUUUUUUUUUAAUAAUAAUAGUAAUAUUCAAAGAAAAUGUAAUAAUGAUUCAAAAUAUCUAAUGCCCAUUUUAUCAAAAGAAAAAAGAAAAUCUAUAUCCACGCGUAUAAGAUUCGUGGAUUAAUUUGGUCCGAAGGUGUAAAGGUUCAUCUUCUGAAUGGGUUGUUGUUGUGAUGAAGACGACGGUGACAUUCUCCGCCAUCUCAUGAAUUCUUCUUCAUCCACCUCAUCCCCACCACCACCACCUCCUCCCACUUCAACAAUAAUCUCACCAAUGAAUUCUCAUUUCUCCGCUUUAUCCUCCACCGAUACUCUCCAAAUUAUCUUCCAGAACCUUCCCAUCCCCGAUCUCGCACGUGCGAGCUGCGUGUGCCGUGUCUGGAACUCGGUUGCCUCACAAAGAGACCUGGUAACCAGAGCUUUCUUAGCACCGUGGAAAUUGAAGGACGUAGUUGGAAACCCGAUUUCUAGAAGCUUCUGGAGAGAUAAUUCGCUUGCCAAAUUUGCAAUCUCGCAUCGUAUUGUGCGUGGGGAUAGUGUUGCUAGUCUCGCCGUUAAGUACUCCGUUCAGGUCCGUUAGGGUUUUUUACUUUGUUUCAGAAAUUGAAAUGCAUAAUUUGUUGUUGUUGUUGUUGUUGUUAUUGAUAAUACACUAUGCGCCGGCUUGUGCUUUUGAAAAUGAUGACAAUGAAAUUAUGGAAUCAUCUCUGAAAUUCAAGAUUACGUUUGAAUAUAGUUCAUAUGAGAUAAUUUUAUGUAUAAAGCACCGAGACACGGACACCAGACACUACACUGAUACAGAUACAUCGUGAUGAUUUGAGAAAAUGAAUUAUGAAGCACAAAUACGGACAUGUCAAGGACACUGACACACCAACACCGCUAAUAAUCUGAGAAAAUCACAUAAUUCAGAGUAAUUAUAUGUGUUGGCGUUGUGUCAGUGUCGGACACGACCCGCGUCUGACACUGGGACACACCUAAUGCAAGAGUGUCCGUGCUUCAUAGAUUGAUGCGUCAAAAAGUAGACAUGCCUAAUCUUAGAGGUUUCUGUGCCUUACAGUCAGGACUAAAUUAAUCGUUCCUUGUUGACUACUGUGAUCAAAUAUUUUAGGGAUAUCAUUUUAAAAUGUUUUUAAUUUCAUGGACCAAAUUUCCUUAUCACUGGAAUAUCAGGUUUUAGGAUUAAAAUUGUGAUAAGCUCAAAUCAAAUUGUUAACAUCUACUUGUUUUGUAUAAUUUAGCAUUUUUCCUAUUAAGAAUUUAUAAACUAGUUGAUCUUUUAUCUGACCAUUUUUACUGUAAGCACUGAGCUAUAUUUUCAUUGUUCUGUUCCUGGUUUUUAUGUUUAAUGGUUUUGAUAAAGUUGGAUGAUAAUUUUUUUGAUGUUUUGACAGGUGAUGGACAUAAAACGAUUGAACAACAUGAUGAGCGAUCAUGGUAUAUACUCAAGGGAAAGGUUAUUAAUUCCUAUUAGUAAUCCUAAUAUUCUUGUUAAAAGAACUUGCUUUAUUGAGCUGGAUGACAAUGCAAAACGAGAAGUUGCAGUGUUGUAUCCGGAUGAUGUACCUGACAUAAAGAGUAGCUAUGUAUCAAACAGAAUAUCCUCAGAAGAAAGCAACAAAAAGGUGCUUGAUUCCUUGAAGAGAAGCAUGCAAGUUGAUAGUGAAACUGCUCAAUACUACUGGUCUGUUUCAAAUGGCGAUCCUCGAGCUGCU
RNAcentral lists this long non-coding RNA (4635 nucleotides) under Medicago truncatula (barrel medic). Its description in RNAcentral is "long non-coding RNA (MTRU_LNC006057)". The record is from RNAcentral. Lineage: Eukaryota; Viridiplantae; Streptophyta; Magnoliopsida; Fabales; Fabaceae.